CUCACACACACACACACACACACCAAGCAAUCCCCUUUCUCUCUCUUUCUCUCAUCAACUCAGCGGAGGCGACGAUCGUUCUCUGUUUGCAUCUGAAAAUUGGAAGGUUCCAGUUCACUAGGAUCGAGAGAUCUUGCGCUAUGGCUGGACUUCACGUCCUUAGGUUAAUGCCCGAGCCGACAGCUGUUAUACUGCUGUAUGCGCAGCAGCAGCAGAUGACUAGUCAUGACAGCAUGGGGAGAUGAAGCGAGAGGCUUGCGGUUGUAUUCAACAUGGGUGCUGGUUACUGCGACGUGUCUUUGUAUAGCCUCUUCAAUCUCUUGUACUUUUGUGUCCAUAGACUUUAGUUAAAGUUUUUAUAUAACUUCACAACACUCUUGUUCUUUCUUUAACAUAACUUCAAAGUCCAUAUAAAAUUUCAUAAUCUCUUUCUAUU
This is a long non-coding RNA of Brassica oleracea var. oleracea, 436 nucleotides long. RefSeq lists it as uncharacterized. The record is from RefSeq and is a predicted model, not a curated record. NCBI's taxonomy places the organism in Eukaryota, Viridiplantae, Streptophyta, Magnoliopsida, Brassicales, Brassicaceae. The transcript has 2 exons.